This 21-nucleotide microRNA is filed under the name Apis mellifera (honey bee). RNAcentral's name for it is "ame-miR-3718a-3p". The record is from miRBase by way of RNAcentral. Lineage: Eukaryota; Metazoa; Arthropoda; Insecta; Hymenoptera; Apidae.
UCCCCUGUCCUGUCCCGAUAG